This 508-nucleotide ribosomal RNA is filed under the name uncultured bacterium. RNAcentral describes it as "bacterial SSU rRNA". It matches the Rfam family "Bacterial small subunit ribosomal RNA", at positions 19 to 518 of the family's 1533-position model. The record is from RNAcentral.
AUGGCUCAGGAGUGAACGCUAGCGACAGGCUUAACACAUGCAGUCGAGGGGCAGCACGGGAGUAGCAAUACAACUGGUGGCGACCGGCGCACGGGUGAGUAACGCGUAUGCAACCUACCUAUCAGAGGGGAAUAACCCGGCGAAAGUCGGACUAAUACCGCAUAAAACAGGGGCACCGCAUGGUGAUAUUUGUUAAAGAGAUUCGCUGAUAGAUGGGCAUGCGUUCCAUUAGGUAGUUGGUGAGGUAACGGCUCACCAAGCCGACGAUGGAUAGGGGAACUGAGAGGUUGGUCCCCCACACUGGUACUGAGACACGGACCAGACUCCUACGAGAGGCAGCAGUGAGGAAUAUUGGUCAAUGGGCGGGAGCCUGAACCAGCCAAGUCGCGUGAAGGAAGAAGGAUCUAUGGUUCGUAAACUUCUUUUGCAGGGGAAUAAAGUGCAGGACGUGUCCUGUUUUGUAUGUACCCUGAGAAUAAGGAUCGGCUAACUCCGUGCCAGCCGCGGC